CAGUCGCCGCGGGAAUACGUAGGUGGCAAGCGUUGUCCGGAAUUAUUGGGCGUAAAGGGCUCGCAGGCGGUUUCUUAAGUCUGAUGUGAAAGCCCCCGGCUCAACCGGGGAGGGUCAUUGGAAACUGGGAAACUUGAGUGCAGAAGAGGAGAGAGGAAUUCCACGUGUAGCGGUGAAAUGCGUAGAGAUGUGGAGGAACACCAGUGGCGAAGGCGACUCUCUGGUCUGUAACUGACGCUGAGGAGCGAAAGCGUGGGGAGCGAACAGGAUUAGAUACCCGUGUAGUCCCUGUCUCUUAUAC
This 301-nucleotide ribosomal RNA is filed under the name uncultured bacterium. RNAcentral describes it as "partial 16S ribosomal RNA". It matches the Rfam family "Bacterial small subunit ribosomal RNA", at positions 509 to 807 of the family's 1533-position model. The record is from RNAcentral.